Molecule: long non-coding RNA, 2398 nt
Organism: Chinchilla lanigera (long-tailed chinchilla)
Lineage: Eukaryota; Metazoa; Chordata; Mammalia; Rodentia; Chinchillidae
Exons: 5
Source: RefSeq, a predicted model, not a curated record
CACACCCCGGAGCCAGGUGUCGCGGCCGCGGGCACAGCUCGGUCCCGGGCUGGGGCUGGGGCCGGGGCUGGGACCGGAUGGGUCCCGGAAUGGGGCGCUCACCCAACAGCCCCAUCGCCGCCCCCCUUCAGGAUAGGCCGAGGACAAAAAUUCCCCCACACGACUGCCGGAAGUUUUUAAGGACUUAAAAAAUAAACACGCAGCCUUAAGUUGCGAAACUCGGCCCCCAAAGUGCACGGGAAACCAUCUACCGCCCCGCCGAGAGGAGAAGUUGGCAACUCCCAGAGACUCCUUAUUUAUAUUAAUUGCCUCAAGAAUAUUAAUAAAACUUCAAGGAAUUUCUGAAACUUCCUUCUGAGCACUCUAGGGAAACAAAUGGAACCAAAUAUAGCAAAAAUAGUCACUGCCCCAACUAGCACAUAACUUAAUGUGCUACUCCUGAUAUUUUGAUUGGAAACAUCUGGGCAUGGUGACACACGCCUCUAAUCUCAGCACUUGGGAAGCUGAAGAAAGAGAACUGCAAGUCUGAGUGACAGCCAGAUUGGUCUACAGAGUGAAUUCAAUGCCAGCACCUCACCUCCAAAAAGGUUUCCAGCACAGACUCUCCAGCCUUGCAACACAGACUACUCAGCCUUCCAGUGUAGGCCCUUUGGCUUUCCAAUAUGGACGCCAAUGGGACUCCGCAGUGAGCUCCAGAUCUUCCACCUGGAGUUGACUGGACUGUUCAGCUCUUCAGCAUGCAGAUGGCUCUUCUGUGUUCUCCCACACCUGACUCUGCAGGCAGCCACUGCUAAAGAACUUUGGAGUCCUGCCUAUCUGUAUGCUAGGGGAAAAUGUGAUACUGCUUCUCGAGAGAUCUAUGAGCCUGUCCUGAUUCUUGGGCCUCUGAGGGGGCUAACUUUCUAUGCAGGCAUGUAUUCUGCUGAAGCCACUCCGCUGUCUAAAGCGGUUGUCAAUUUUACCUUGUGGCUCAGCUGACUAUUACAGAUCUCCAUUUAAGAGGCAAAGCAAAAUAAGAGCUCUCCAGAAUACGUGACAAGCGAAGCUGAAGCCUAAGCCCACUGAUGCUGGUCAGUGUGGAAGCUCCACGGAAAAUGCUGUGGAGAACUGCCCGAAGGAUGAACAGUCCAGAUACAAACAGAACUGGUACGGUACUCGCCACAGAUUCACUCACCUGGGGUCAUCCUUGGGCCUCGUGCCAGUAACUUACACUAUGAUGUAUUAUGAGAAACAGACCCACGAAAUCCAAAUACUGUAAGAAUUACUGAGGAUAUUUUUCACUGUAGUACUGUUUUUAGAAGGUGGAACCUAAGAUCUUAAUAAAAUCAGAAAUCCAUAAAUUCUAGAUAAUGCUUGCCUGGGGAUGUGGCUCAGCACAACGGCCCUGGACUCAACCCCCAGAACCACAGGCAAACACACAAAAUAGAUUUUUAUUGCAAUGAUAAUCUUUUACUAUCUAGAAAAAUAAAACAUCUGUAUUAUAGUUGUAAUUCACAACUGACAGAAGUUUGCAAGACUAACACUUCAGUUUGUACUGGGGUGGAUCUUUGGAUUCUUGUUCCUAGAAAAAAAAUUUUCCCCUUAAGUGAUCCAUAUGUUAUUCAAACUUGACCAGCACUGUAUGUAUGGUAGCUGCUUCUUUUCAGGACUUCAUGAGAAAUUUUUACAUUGGUUUCCAUACCAAAACUAUCUGUCCUCUGAGCAACUAAUAUGCUUUGUCCCAUGAACACCAUGACUCAUUUAAUUCCUUAAGUUUCUUGCUUUGUAGAAAGGUCAAAACCAAAUUUGCGUUUUGUCUUUACAGAAUGUAGAGACAUUUGGAGUAUGUACUUUGCAUUCUGACUUCAUUCUUGGCUUCAUAUUAUAUUGCUUGCACUCAUCUGCCAGAUAUGUUGACUUUUUCCAAAUACUUUUUAAAAUUUAAUUUUAUCUUAUAAAUUUUAUGAAAAUUUAUAUUGUUAGAAUUUGACACCAACAUUCAAAACCAUCAAUUUUAGUCUGUGCACAAACUGUAAUAUAGUAAUGGGGUUAAUUCUUCUGAAAAUAUUUUAAAAAUAAAUUCUUAUUCAAAACUGUAUACAUUUAUGUGUAUAAAUGUUUGUUAUCAUAUCCUUGAUAAGGAUUAUUCUGAUUUGAAGAGUUAUCCAGUUAGCAGGCUUUAAAUUUUUAAAAAUUUAAAUGCUACUUAUAAAUUAAAAGAUACUGACUUAACCUGUCCAUAAAACUAUAUGACACGUCAGUAAAAAUAUAUGGAAGUUAAUUUUGUAGUUGCUUAAAAGCAGUAUGUACGAUUCUUACACUGAUUUUGGUAAAAUACACGUGAUGUGAACUCAGCAAUUUACAUUUGUCAUCUUCUUUUUCUCAUAUUUAUUUAAAAUAUAAAGACAUGUGAGAAGAA